AUAUCAAUAAUCUUAUGAACUCGAGUGUAUGAGUGGAUGUGGUUGUAAAAUUACAAAGUCAAUGCAGAGAUCUACUGGGUAAGGAAAAUGGUAGUUGGAUUUUUGGAAGGCUGAUUGACUUGAGGCUGGAAAUGGGAGUGUUUUGUUUUUCUUUUCUCUCUUUGGUCCUCCCAUGCCAUUUCCCAAAUGCUAUCUCAUGAGUGGGGGGAUUAAUAAAAAAUACUUUUCACUGGAAAUCUCUUACCACCUAUAGGUUUAUAGGUAUAGUCUUUUUUUUUAAUUAAAAAAGUCAUGGACUUUUAUUAUCAUUCACAUACUUCACAGAAAAGGAAAUGUAGCAAAUGGGUCAGAGUUGUAUAAAAAGACAUCUGGGAACAGGACGGUCCUGAUAUCCAGCACAGCUGCACUGUCCCAUGCCCCUUUGCAGAUGAGGUCCUGGGCACACUUGGCACAGCCCACAGAGCAGCAGGAGCAGCAGCUCUUCUUGCAGAAGGUGCAUUUGCAUUUUUUGCAUUUUCAGGAUCCAGCACAGGUGCAGGAGCCACCAGUGGUCAGGAACAGCUGCAGUUCGUUUGGACCAAGAUAAAGCCUCCAGCAAGUCUUUGGAAUCUCUGGGGUUUCUAAGGGAAGUCAUUGGAAUUUCCUGUGUCUGGUGAACAAGAAGGAUGGUCAACUCAGGAGCUGACCUCGGCCUCCUCCUAUGCCAUGUCACAGAAACAGCAGGCCCACUGAGGGGGAUGGCAGUAGUGUGACUGUUGGAGAUGGGAUGCUAAGUGAUGUUGCCUUGCAAGUUUGCUUCCAGUCUGUUCUCCAAAUCCAUUCUAAGCCCGACUUUGACUUCCUUGCCUUGGGGAAGCUUGCGGAUGGACCAGAAGAUGCAAUAUUAGAAGCAGCUCUCUGA
Molecule: long non-coding RNA, 901 nt
Filed under: Callithrix jacchus (white-tufted-ear marmoset)
Lineage: Eukaryota; Metazoa; Chordata; Mammalia; Primates; Cebidae
Description: lncRNA (ENSCJAG00000075348.1)
Source: RNAcentral